RNAcentral lists this ribosomal RNA (253 nucleotides) under uncultured bacterium. RNAcentral describes it as "partial 16S ribosomal RNA". It matches the Rfam family "Bacterial small subunit ribosomal RNA", at positions 524 to 776 of the family's 1533-position model. The record is from RNAcentral.
UACGUAGGGGGCAGGCGUUGUCCGGAUUUAUUGGGCGUAAAGAGCGUGUAGGCGGCCAGACAGGUCCGUUGUGAAAACUCGAGGCUCAACCUCGAGACGCCGAUGGAAACCGUCUGGCUAGAGUCCGGAAGAGGAGAGUGGAAUUCCUGGUGUAGCGGUGAAAUGCGUAGAGAUCAGCAGGAACACCCGUGGCGAAGGCGGCCCCCCGGGCCGUACCUGACGCUGAGGCGCGAAGGCUAGGGGAGCGAACGGA